RNAcentral lists this unclassified non-coding RNA (267 nucleotides) under plant metagenome. RNAcentral's name for it is "partial contains small subunit ribosomal RNA, internal transcribed spacer 1, and 5.8S ribosomal RNA". The record is from RNAcentral.
UUUCCGUAGGUGAACCUGCGGAAGGAUCAUUAUCGUACAAAAUGUGUGGGGCAUUCGAGGUCUGUCGCUGACCCAAAACUCGUGCACUCCCUAGUGUGUCCUCUUGCCUAAUAAUCCAUCUCACCCUUUGUGCAUCACCGCGUGGGCACCCUUUGCGAUCAUCUCGGAGGGGGGCUCGCGUUUUCCCAACAACCCCCCUUCUAAAAGUGUAGAAUGACCACAUUUAUGCAAUAAAUACAACUUUCAACAACGGAUCUCUUGGCUCUG